AAACUAACAAGGAUUUCCUCGGUAGCGGCGAGCGACCAGGAAUUAGCCCGACACCGAAUCCUGUACCUUAAUGGUAUUGGGAGUUGUGGUGGAUAGGAUUGUAUCUUUGAUGGUUAAGUUGGCUUGAAAUUCGCUUGAAUGCGAUCUAUCCGUAGAGGGUGCCAGACCCGUUCGAGUCAAUGAGAUUAUUAUUGAUGCUUUCUAAUGAGUAGGAUUGUUUGGGAAUGCAGUCCGAAUUGGGAGGUAGAUUCCUUCUAAGGCUAAAUACUUGUCUGAGUCCGAUAGUAAACAAGUACCGUGAGGGAAAGUUGAAAAGAACUUUGAAGAGAGAGUUAAAUAGCACGUGAAAUCGCUUAGAGGUAAACGAGUGGAGCCGAAGGUUGGUGUACAGAAUUCAACUAUUUGAGUGUUGCGGUCUGUAGUUUAAAUCUGUAAAGUUUAUUCUGCAGUAUUGUGGCAUUUGAGUAGUGCACUUUCUGUGCAUCAAAUAUGCGACCGGUACUUAUUCGUUCUGUCGUAGAAAAGAAGGUAUCCUUAUCUCCGGAUUUGGAUCAUACAGCUUUCUGCAUGGUUCGAAUUUGCACCGGUGACUGUGAUCAAUCAACGUUGGCGUAGUCAUUAUGUUGGUUGUAUCGUUGUAAACUCCUAGAGAUUGCAUUGGUACAAUUGAUGUAGUGGUUGCUCAACAGAUUGGUGUAAAGUCAGCAUUGUAUAUGUAGGCAAUCUACUUGUCCCGUCUUGAAACACGGACCAAGGAGUUUUUUAUACUUGCAAGUCUAUGGGUUCUACGAAAUCCUACGGCGAAAUGAAGGUAAAGUAUGUCUCCGGACGUAUGAGGUGCGACCUUUAUGUUAACACAUAGAGUGCAGCAUCGCCCUGUUCAAAGAUGUACGCAUCUGGGCAGAGGAAUAGCAAGUAUGAAGAGACCCGAAAGAUGGUGAACUUUGGUUGUGCAAGUUGAAGCCAGAGGAAACUCUGGUGGAGGACUGAAGCAGUUCUGACGUGCAAAUCGAUUGUCAGAACAUGACCAAAGGGGCGAAAGACUAAUCGAACCAUCUAGUAGCUGGUUCCCUCCGAAGUUUCCCUCAGGAUAGCUGGCAUUGAUGUUAGUUAUAUCCGGUAAAGCGAAUGAUUAGAAGGACCGGGGAAGAAAUUUUCUCGACUUAUUCUCAAACUUUAAAUGGGUAUGAUGUAUUGCUUUCUUCAUUGAAGUAAUACGGUUAAUAACAGUGCUUAGUGGGCCAUUUUUGGUAAGCAGAACUGGCGAUGUGGGAUGAACCAAACAUCUAGUUAAGGUGCCUAAUUCAUGCUCAUGAGACACCACAAAAGGUGUUGGUUGAUAUAGACAGCAGGGCGGUGGACAUGGAAGUCGUCAUCCGCUAAGGAGUGUGUAACAACUCACCUGCCGAAUCAACUAGCCCUGAAAAUGGAUGGCGCUGUAGCAUGGAACCUAUACUAGAUCGGCACGGUAAGCAAAUUGCGAGAAAGCCGUGUCGUGUAGGAGGGCGCCGUGAUAGCUUUUGAAGCCACUAGCGUGAGUUAGGGUGGAGCUGUUACGGGUGCAGAUCUUGGUAGUAGUAGCAAUUAUUCAAGUGAGAUCCUUGAAG
This 1607-nucleotide ribosomal RNA is filed under the name Cercyra hastata. Its description in RNAcentral is "eukaryotic LSU rRNA". It matches the Rfam family "Eukaryotic large subunit ribosomal RNA", at positions 62 to 1489 of the family's 3401-position model. The record is from RNAcentral. Lineage: Eukaryota; Metazoa; Platyhelminthes; Tricladida; Cercyridae.